Molecule: long non-coding RNA, 333 nt
Organism: Gadus morhua (Atlantic cod)
Lineage: Eukaryota; Metazoa; Chordata; Actinopteri; Gadiformes; Gadidae
Source: Ensembl
GCCUUUUAAACCCUCCGCGUUUGAGGAAAAGGACUUCACCGGAUCCUAUUCCACAGACCGUCCUCCUCCCCAGGCUUCAGGUGACGAGGUCAGCGCUUUUCCAGGUGCCACUUCAGGGAUGGAUGUACCUGGACGAGCUGCCGGGCCUGACGAAGCUGUCUGGCCUGAGGAAGAUGCCCUCGAAUUCAGCCUGGACAUCGUCCGGUCUUACCCUAAGGCCGGGCCUAGAAAGAUUACAAAGAGAAGAGGGAGAAAGAGUUCUCCAUACGUCACUCUGACUACCUGUCGCCGUACCCCUGCCUGCCUGACUGUCGUCGAACCCCUGCCUGCCUG